GGCUGGUUAGCUCAGUUGGUUAGAGUAUGGUAUUGAUAAUGCCAAAGCCCAGGGUUCAAUCCCCGUACCAGCCA
This is a non-coding RNA of Galeopterus variegatus (Sunda flying lemur), 74 nucleotides long. The record is from the annotation of a RefSeq genome assembly. NCBI's taxonomy places the organism in Eukaryota, Metazoa, Chordata, Mammalia, Dermoptera, Cynocephalidae.